RNAcentral lists this unclassified non-coding RNA (442 nucleotides) under Hevea brasiliensis (rubber tree). The record is from RNAcentral. Lineage: Eukaryota; Viridiplantae; Streptophyta; Magnoliopsida; Malpighiales; Euphorbiaceae.
AAGAUAUUUCAAAGUAGAAAAGAACAGUUCAAAACCCAGCAACUAAAACAGCUAAAUCUACAGCAGCUAAGAAUAAUAGGACAGAAAAAUACAGAAGCCUCACUUCAAGCCAACAAUAACAAAACCUGAAAUUAUUGAUUUUCCUCUAUUAUUUUGCAUUUCUUUACCCUUUUGAUCAAAGGCAUCAACUUUCACAACCUAAUCAAACUCAAGGAUAUCUCUUUGCAUGCCAUUUUUAUUCACAUACACAAUUGAAAAAGAAAACCUUCAAAUUAAAAACUAAAAUCAAUGGAAAACCUUAAAAUAAAGCAGAAUUAACAUAAAUUGCGUAAAUUUGUAAUAGAAACUGAGAACCAAAACAAAACCCAAAUUCGCAGAGGACAUGGAAUUUGGUAAUUGCAGCAAAAGCAUUUGGAUUCAGAAUUCUAAAACCUUGAAUUUG